This is a long non-coding RNA of Anthonomus grandis grandis, 1342 nucleotides long. RefSeq lists it as uncharacterized. The transcript has 2 exons. The record is from RefSeq and is a predicted model, not a curated record. NCBI's taxonomy places the organism in Eukaryota, Metazoa, Arthropoda, Insecta, Coleoptera, Curculionidae.
CAAUAAUUUAUUUUAUUUUACAAAGACGCUUGUUCUAGAUCUAAAUGCUUACUAAAACAAUCUUUUGUGAAAACCAGCUCGUUGAAAAAAUUAAAAAUACUAUAAAUAUUUUCUAUAAUCUCCCGACUGCUCAGCCCAGGGCCAUAUCCUAAAAAGAAGAGAAGAAGAAUUAUUUUUAGGUUAUGAACACAUAAACUAACCUAACUUAAGGAAGAAAUCAACGUUUUCUCUUAGUUCCUAGGGCUUAAAGGGUUUGAGUUUUGCGAUUCUUCAAUGUACCACAAGUGCAUUGUUGUCUCAAUACUUUUUAUUUAAUAUAGCAUAGUCCAGCUUACCUGCAAUACAAUAUAUCCACAUGGACUUAAUAGACAAAUUAAAGCUCAAAUACCCUGGCCUUAAAAAACAUUCUUGUAAAGUGAAUUUACCAGAAGAUGCUAGAUAUUCUCUGCUUUUAGUGCCAAAAACCAUUGAUCCUCAAAGUUUAGUAAAUUUGAAAGCCCACUUAGCGAAAGAUACUUUGGUGAUUUUGAAUAAAAAGGAGUAUAUGUUUCAAGUUUCAACCAAAAAGCCUGAUCCAAUGUUACUCAGUUUAGAAGGAGGUAAAAUAGUACAGCCUGAAAGCAUCCAAGUUCUGCAACGGUAUGUUCCAAAAUUGGUUGCCCAACCUCCUGAAGUUAUUUUAAGGGAAAAUAUUGCCUUACCUACAGAUUUAAAACCGCGCCAUCCACUUUUUGGAGUAAAUUACAAAGAAAAGUUGCAUCUAGGUAAUUCUGUUAAGGCUAAACUUCACGAGGCAGUUGAAAACAAAUGUAAAGUUGAGAGGAAGUUGAUCAAGAAACAGUAUAAGAAAAAGAGGAAAAGUUCAAAAGUUGAAGAUGUUGAAGAAUUCCUGUUUAAAAGUUUAAAGUAAUAUUAAACAUAAAUCGAAUGUGACAAAGCAUAUUGUGGUGACUCUAUUUUUAAAUUUUGCCCAUAGAAACAUUCUAAUUUCAUUCAAAGUGACGCCAAGAGGACAUAACAUCUAUACAAAGAACAAUUAUUAAGUAAAAUUUCGUGGAAAAUUGUUCGGACUAUAAUUUGGCAGGUGUUCAAUGAUUUUUAGAUUUGUGGACCUGCCAUACCCGUCGCGACAGUGUGAAUUUCCUGAUAUAAUAUUAUCCGAAAAUAAAAACUAUGUGAACUGGAUACAAUAUUAGCCAGAAAAUGCGGAAAUCGUCUACUUAUCUCAAUGGCAUACUGGCUAUAAAAAUGUCUCCAGGCAACAAUUUUUAACCCCAAAAUAAUAUAGUAAUAAAUGUAUUGUUAAACUUUAUUUUUUAAUAUAUGGCGUUUAUAGCCUUGA